Molecule: non-coding RNA, 3427 nt
Organism: Misgurnus anguillicaudatus (oriental weatherfish)
Lineage: Eukaryota; Metazoa; Chordata; Actinopteri; Cypriniformes; Cobitidae
Source: RefSeq, a predicted model, not a curated record
AUCGCUCAGUGGGCGGUCGCGUAUAUCGUUGGAAACUCCCUUGCCGCGCUCACGAUAAUGUGCACGGGCGCCCGGCGCGGUCUCGCUUGAAAAAAUUGCUAAACAGCGACCUCUGGUCACAGAAUUCGAUAGGUCACAGAAUUCGUCACAACAACUGUUGCGAUCUCCCUUUACAGACACUGCUACCUCUCGCUCUCUUUGCUUGACAACACACUCACUGACGUCACUAACUUUUACGCUCGUGCAAUGCAUAAUGCAUGAUUCGCGGGCUAAAUGUUAAUGUUCACAUUUGUAAAAUGCAGAAAGACGUGCCCCGGAUCGUGAAGUUCGCCUACGCGAAUUUUGCUUCUAAUGCUGGAAAGAGCAGCGCUAAAUGUUAUGUGUGUAUAAUCGCACAAUUGAGGAAAAGACUGGGACAACCUCAAACUUUAACAGACACGGAUGCACCCAGAAAAGAGGUGCUGUCUUGGAAAACGAGGGGUCUGAGAAUGCGGGUCUGUAGCUGCAGGCUCCGAGUCUUAGUCAGGUGGAGGGAGGACGGCAGGUUGGCACGGUGCAGGAGGCAGCUUUUCAGAUGACACAGGGGUGUUCUUGGAGAUAACGGCUGGCCGCCAGCACAGUAGAGAAUUCCUCCAGCAUCUGAAACCUGGGCAGAGGAUUCUCACUGCAGACAUCCUCCUGUAAAACAUACAAAGAGAGAUAACACACACACAGAGAAGAAGGAGAGAGAGAAAAGUUGCAGCUGGCAUCACGAUUUGAGGCGAUCUGUGAGCGGCGCUGAGUAGACUCGGUGUAACACGACUUCCCAGCUGCGGUCGGAGCUCCACCUGGCGAUUCCACUGAAGAGGUAGACCUGGUAAGGCCGUGCCGCACAGUGGGGACCUGAACAUCCCAACCACAGGUUACCUGCAAUCAUUUGGAGCAGCAACUUGUGGAACCCCUCCAGGCUGUUGCUCCCACGCAGGCCCUUGUAAUAGGGCAGGUCCACACCGUUGAUGGUCGUUGUGCGAGGAACCCGGUACAUGGCCAUGCCUGGAAGGUCCUGGAUGCAUUCCAGGUGUCGCUGCUGGCUGGCCCACAUCUCAUCAAUGGCUGCUGUAAACACAAAAACAUGCAUGGUGAGCUGUUGUCAUUUUGCACAUAUUGACGUUUUGUCUGUGUGCGUGUCUGUGCAUAUGUAUGUAUGUGUGUGAGGUGUUUUUUCUCACCAGGGGACUUGAAGAGGCUGACAUCGCUCUCGUUGAGCCCUGCUGGACCCUUGAGCUCUUCAAUGACCAGGUGGACAAGACGAAAUGUCUCCUGGGCACCGAGGGUGACACGAUGGACAUGAUGUUUGAGCUGGACCAUAUCCUCGUCACUCACCACCUUCAUUAUGGCCGGGUGUCUGGCCCUGACAGCCUUGAUGAGGAGCUGGAGGUCCUCGCGGUUAUAGGCCAAUCCUGUCACGUACUUCGAGUGGGCCUCGGUCUGCAGAGCAGCAUCAAAGCGAUGGAGCCAGUGGAAAAUGUCCAGCCUCACCACCAUCCCGUCUCCAAGAGAGUCUCCACGACCGUCGGACCCUGCCUUGCAGCAUCCCCGGUCAAUGUAAAGGUUGAUUGGCGUGCCAAAACCGCUUCAUCACCCCACGGCACAUGGGCCCCAGCUUUUCCACAGACUCGUCACAGGUGAGAACAAAAGACAUGAUCUGGAAAAACUCGUUCCCGAUGCUGGUGAACCACUCGGCCGAGCCCUUGCCCUCCCCAGACAAUUUCUUUACCACCUACAACAAAACAAACAAAUACAAAACAGUUUAGUUUAGUUUUGCAUAAUGUGGUGUUUCGUGCAUAAUGUGGUGUUCAAUGUGGUGCUUAUGCUUGUAUGUCAAAACACUUGCUUUCUUUGAGGAGUCCAUUUUCAGGACGGUGUCGAACAUGGACAGUAUCUGGCUCUGGUAGUCCCGAACAUUUUCCGCCUCAGCCACGAGGAAGGUGUGCCGCAGGAGCCGUGCGCAGGGAGCUCUCAGGGAAGAGGUGCCGCCUGGAACUCCCCGUGGCCCAAUGCAAAGACAAUGCCUCCGGAUUUCACCAAGACCAUGAGGAGCGUGGUGUAGAGGUCCUUCCUCUGAUAGUAGUCCUCCAUAUGGUUCUACUGCACCUGCCGCCACACCUUAAUCAUGGUGUUCCCCUCUGUGCAGUCAUGCAGGAGGCGAAUCACAGUUUUGUCCACCCCGCGCUUUACGGUCAGCUCAGCUGCGCCAGAAUGGCAUCGUUCCAUGCCAGCCACCGAUGCCUGGGAACACUCGCUCCACCCCUGCUGGCAUCCUUGAGGCACGAUCCACAGGAAACCACCUCUGUCCCCAUUGUGUACCAAUCGGACCCUUUGCAGAUGUGACGUACCUAAAACACACAUCGUAAAGAAAGAGAGAGAUCACAUAUCAAUCACAGAUCAGCAUUCAUGUGUGAAGAGACUAAGCCUUACCCGGAUGUGGUAACCACACUUGGAGAGGUAUGUGUUGCCUCCACGCCAGCGCACUUAUCACCCCUCGGACACGUCAGGGAGCACUGCCACACUCUGAUAGGGCACCAGAAGAAAACACGGUGGCAGAAAAAGGCCUGUGGAGUGGGGAUGCAGCCACUAACGAAGUCGGGUGAACAAAUACAUGAGGAUUUGUGUUCGGACUUCGGAACGAUAAUAGUCACUCUGCGACAAGGUGGUGGCAGACGCAGUCUGGCUGUUGGAGGUCGAUGGUGGCGAGCAUCAGGGGGAGACUCACCAGGUGCUGAGGACGGCAGGAGUUUUGGUUGUUCUGGAUGCACACUAGACGUUGGCUGCUCUGGACACUCAUCAGACACACCCUUGCUUGUGGAGGUCACUGUAACCAACCUCUUUAUCGAGAAUGUAGCGCCUGAAGUGCUUCAGGGACUUGGUGGGGAUGUCCUCCUCCUUCAUCACCAACCACUGCUUUGUAGAUGUGUACGCCCCCUGCGCCAUUUUCCUCUCUUGGCCGGUCCCAGCUUGCGGGCCGGUCUGAAGGGUCUUGUGCAGGCUGUACCACUGCCACAUCUCGAGGAACGUGAACGACCUGAAGCGGCUCUGCCCGUAAAUGGCCCUGUCCACACUGACCUCGAGGUGGCAGGAGACCGGAGGGAACAGUCAUUAUUUGUUUUUGUUUUGUCUUUUACAUGCAGAUCAAUGAUACUGAAAUUUCACAUAAUGUAAUUCAUUUGUGAAAAUUUUUAUUCUGUUUUGUGCAACAUACUCACUACUUAAUUUAGCCAACAUCAUUCUCGACCAGACAUUUAAAGCUUUGGCCAUUGUAUUUUCCAAAGGUCAAAUGAAGCUGGCCGAGAUACUGCUCCUCUGAUGGAGUCGAGGUGAAGUGCCAACAUCUCUUUUUAGCUGAAGACACAGACAAGCACAAAAACAUUAUAUGCUGCAGUAGGGGUGU